RNAcentral lists this ribosomal RNA (365 nucleotides) under uncultured bacterium. RNAcentral's name for it is "bacterial SSU rRNA". It matches the Rfam family "Bacterial small subunit ribosomal RNA", at positions 917 to 1289 of the family's 1533-position model. The record is from RNAcentral.
GGGCCCGCACAAGCGGAGGAGCAUGUGGUUUAAUUCGAUGAUACGCGAGGAACCUUACCAAGGCUUAAAUGUAAUAUGACCGGUUGAGAGAUCAACCUUUUUCGAACAGAUUACAAGGUGCUGCAUGGUUGUCGUCAGCUCGUGCCGUGAGGUGUCGGGUUAAGUCCCAUAACGAGCGCAACCCUAUUUUUAGUUACCAGCGAGUAAUGUCGGGAACUCUAGCAAGACUGCCAGUGCAAACUGUGAGGAAGGUGGGAUGACGUCAAAUCAUCACGGCCCUUACGUCCUGGGCUACACACGUGCUACAAUGGUAGGUACAGAGAGCAGCCAAUGCGCGAGCAUGAGCAAAUCUAUAAACCUAUCUC